Molecule: ribosomal RNA, 1351 nt
Filed under: uncultured marine eukaryote
Lineage: Eukaryota
Description: SSU rRNA
Rfam family: Eukaryotic small subunit ribosomal RNA
Source: RNAcentral
CACUUCUAAGGAAGGCAGCAGGCGCGCAAAUUACCCAAUCCUGACUCAGGGAGGUAGUGACAAGAAAUAACAAUAAACCGGCUUAUGCCGGUUUAAUUGGAAUGAGUACAAUUUAAACAUCUUAACGAGGAACAAUUGGAGGGCAAGUCUGGUGCCAGCAGCCGCGGUAAUUCCAGCUCCAAUAGCGUAUACUAAAGUUGUUGCAGUUAAAAAGCUCGUAGUUGGAUUUCUGUGGGGACGGAGCGGCCGGCCGCACAUCGCGGUUCGAGCUAGCGCUUUCCCUACAUCCUGCCGCGAACCGUGCUACCAUUAGUUUGGUGGCGCCGGGGAUCGGCUCGAUUACUUUGAGAAAAAUAGAGUGUUCAAAGCAGGCCACAUGCCUUGAAUAAGUUAGCAUGGAAUAAUAACUAAGGACUUCGGUUCUAUUUUGUUGGUGUUCGGGACUGAAGUAAUGAUUGAUAGGGACAGUUGGGGCGGUCUGUAUUCCAAAGCGAGAGGUGAAAUUCUUAGACCUUCGGAAGACAAACAGCUGCGAAAGCGUUCCGCAAGGAUGUUCCCUUUGAUCAAGAACGAAAGUUGGGGGAUCGAAGACGAUCAGAUACCGUCGUAGUCUCAACUAUAAACUAUACCAGCUGGGGAUCGGCCAACGUUAUUCUAUACCGACUUGGUCGGCACCUUAUGAGAAAUCAAAGCAUCUGGGUUCCGGGGGGAGUAUGGUCGCAAGGCUGAAACUUAAAGGAAUUGACGGAAGGGCACCACCAGCCGUGGAGCCUGUGGCUUAAUUUGACUCAACACGGGAAAACUUACCAGGUCCAGACAUAGUAAGGAUUGACAGAUUGAUAGCUCUUUCUUGAUUCUGUGGGUGGUGGUGCAUGGCCGUUCUUAGUUGGUGGAGUGAUUUGUCUGGUUAAUUCCGUUAACGAACGAGACCCCAGCCUGCUAAAUAGCGCGCGUGAGCUUUGCUCGCGGCGAGCUUCUUAGAGGGACUAUGAUGCGCGAUAGCACAUGGAAGUUUGGGGCAAUAACAGGUCUGUAAUGCCCUUAGAUGUUCUGGGCCGCACACGGGCUACACUGGCGCCUGCAACGAGCAUAUCAGCUGGCCCGAGAGGGUCUUGGCUAAUCUUUUGAACCGGCGUCGUGCUUGGGAUUGACCUUUGCAAUUGUUGGUCAUGCAACGAGGAAUGCCUUGUAAACGCGAGUCAUCAGCUCGCAUUGAAUACGUCCCUGCCCUUUGUACACACCGCCCGUCGCUCCUACCGAUGAAUGUUCCGAUGAAAUUUUCGGAGAGUGCCUGUGAACUUGGCUCUGCCUUGCGAACGGGAGGCUCAAAGUCACUUAAAUCUGAACAUUU